RNAcentral lists this ribosomal RNA (414 nucleotides) under Boana albopunctatus group sp. ABGD cluster 7. RNAcentral describes it as "partial large subunit ribosomal RNA". It matches the Rfam family "Bacterial large subunit ribosomal RNA", at positions 1813 to 2373 of the family's 2925-position model. The record is from RNAcentral. Lineage: Eukaryota; Metazoa; Chordata; Amphibia; Anura; Hylidae.
ACAUCGCCUCUUGAUAAAAUAUAAGAGGUCCAGCCUGCCCAGUGACCUAGUUCAACGGCCGCGGUAUCCUAACCGUGCGAAGGUAGCGUAAUCACUUGUUCUUUAAAUGAGGACUAGUAUGAAUGGCACCACGAGGGUUAAGCUGUCUCCUUUUUCUAAUCAGUAAAACUAAUCUCCCCGUGAAGAAGCGGGGAUUAUAUUAUAAGACGAGAAGACCCUAUGGAGCUUAAAACAAAUUAACACCUGCUUCUAUCUAUUUUUCUUCCUGAACUUACACAUAAAAUAUAGCACUAUUGAUUAAUAGUUUUCGAUUGGGGUGAUCAUGGAGCAAAAACCAACCUCCACGACGAAAAGGAGCACUUCCCUGAGCUAAAAGCUACAACUUUAAGCACUAAAAAAUUAACGCACUUUGAC